GGGCGGAGCGAGGGGGACGCGGAGAGGCAGGCGCGGAGCGGGAAGGGCUUGUGGGGGGAUUGUGAGCGAGCCCCGAAAGCGUCGUGAGGGGCCGUGGAGAGGCGGGGGAAGCGGAGGAGCUGGUACAACCCGUUCGGUUUAUAUUCCAUUUGUGAUGUAUCACAACCGCCCUUUGGAAGAGAGGAACCGCCGUGGCAGGGGUCAGAAUUAAAUGACCUUUAACGUCGUUUCCAACCCAAACCAUUGUGUGAUUCGGUGAUUCUGUGAUAGCAAGGUUUGUUUGUGGAUCAGCAUUUGCUUCCUGCAGGUUAUGCUGGAGAAAAAUAAAGCUGAAUUGCAUCAA
Molecule: long non-coding RNA, 343 nt
Organism: Corvus hawaiiensis (hawaiian crow)
Lineage: Eukaryota; Metazoa; Chordata; Aves; Passeriformes; Corvidae
Exons: 2
Source: RefSeq, a predicted model, not a curated record